AGUGGGGAAUAUUGGACAAUGGGGGGAACCCUGAUCCAGCCAUGCCGCGUGUGUGAAGAAGGCCUUAUGGUUGUAAAGCACUUUAAGCGAGGAGGAGGCUACUUUAGUUAAUACCUAGAGAUAGUGGACGUUACUCGCAGAAUAAGCACCGGCUAACUCUGUGCCAGCAGCCGCGGUAAUACAGAGGGUGCGAGCGUUAAUCGGAUUUACUGGGCGUAAAGCGUGCGUAGGCGGCUUAUUAAGUCGGAUGUGAAAUCCCCGAGCUUAACUUGGGAAUUGCAUUCGAUACUGGUGAGCUAGAGUAUGGGAGAGGAUGGUAGAAUUCCAGGUGUAGCGGUGAAAUGCGUAGAGAUCUGGAGGAAUACCGAUGGCGAAGGCAGCCAUCUGGCCUAAUACUGACGCUGAGGUACGAAAGCAUGGGGAGCAAACAGGAUUA
This 436-nucleotide ribosomal RNA is filed under the name Micromonospora sp. AMSO1212t. Its description in RNAcentral is "bacterial SSU rRNA". It matches the Rfam family "Bacterial small subunit ribosomal RNA", at positions 353 to 780 of the family's 1533-position model. The record is from RNAcentral. Lineage: Bacteria; Bacillati; Actinomycetota; Actinomycetes; Micromonosporales; Micromonosporaceae.